RNAcentral lists this ribosomal RNA (253 nucleotides) under uncultured bacterium. RNAcentral describes it as "partial 16S ribosomal RNA". It matches the Rfam family "Bacterial small subunit ribosomal RNA", at positions 524 to 776 of the family's 1533-position model. The record is from RNAcentral.
UACGGAGGGUGCAAGCGUUGUUCGGAAUUACUGGGUGUAAAGCGCGUGUAGGCGGCUUGGUAAGUCGGGUGUGAAAUCCCAGCGCUUAACCAUGGAACUGCAUUCGAUACUGUCUGGCUGGAGUCCCGUAGAGGGUGGUGGAAGGCCCAGUGUAGAGGUGAAAUUCGUAGAUAUUGUGAGGAUCACCGAUAGCGAAGGCAGCCACCUGGCCGGUCACUGACGCUGAGACGCGAAAGCGUGGGGAGCAAACAGG